Molecule: unclassified non-coding RNA, 334 nt
Filed under: soil metagenome
Description: partial contains 5.8S ribosomal RNA, internal transcribed spacer 2, and large subunit ribosomal RNA
Rfam family: 5.8S ribosomal RNA (bases 1-120)
Source: RNAcentral
GAUGAAGAACGUAGCGAAAUGCGAUACGUAAUGUGAAUUGCAGAAUUCAGUGAAUCAUCGAAUCUUUGAACGCACAUUGCGCCUGCCAGCACUCUGGCAGGCAUGCCUGUUCGAGCGUCAUUUCAACCAUCAAGCCCUAGGCUUGCGUUGGAGCCCUGCGGCUGCCGCAGGCCCCUAAAAGCAGUGGCGGGCUCGCUAUCACACCGAGUGCAGUAGAUUACUCUUCGCUCAGGGCGUGUGGCGGGUUCCAGCCGUGAAACCCCCUACUUCUCAAGGUUGACCUCGGAUCAGGUAGGAAUACCCGCUGAACUUAAGCAUAUCAAUAAGCGGAUGA